UCUUGUCUUGAUGCAUGGCCAGUGUAUGGAAGGACGGCAACCGGCAUGUCGGGUGUGUUCAGGGUCUGUGACUGGUUCCUAUUUGGUUAAACAACAUGGUGACUCCACUGUGGAACCAGCCGUAUGAGGACCAGCUAUCCACCAAACAGACCAACACCAGGGAGUUUCUGAGGAAUUUAUCCAAGAUGCUGCAACGGAACAUUGGGGAGAUGUCUCCAUGGCUGAAGUAACAAAGGAAGAACCACAGUGGGAUGGAAUGUGAGUUGCAGCCAAUUAAGCCAUCGCCAGUAUUAGAGAGUUAUCGCAACAAGUGUGAGUUUACCUUCGGCAAGAGUGUAGAUGGCAUCGAUAACACUGUUGGUUUCCGGCUUGGCGCUUACAAAGGU
RNAcentral lists this long non-coding RNA (386 nucleotides) under Patiria miniata (bat star). RNAcentral describes it as "uncharacterized LOC119743608, transcript variant X2". The record is from RNAcentral. Lineage: Eukaryota; Metazoa; Echinodermata; Asteroidea; Valvatida; Asterinidae.